UCCUGUUCUUAAGGUAAAUCUGCUCGGUCAAAGCAUUCAGAAUCAUCUAAUAACAUUGAUGCUGAUGGUGAUGAGGAUUGGUCACGGAUUUCUCAGUUGCUUUCAAGCAUAGCUACUUUUAGAAACAAAUCAAUAGACAAAUGGCAGAGGAAGACACAGGUGACCACAGGUGCUGCUGCUAUUAAAAGCAAGCUGCAUGCUUUUAAUCAGAAUAUCACUGAACAAGUUGCUUCUUAUAUGAGAGAGAUCCAAGCAGAAUGGUUAAGCAGAUGCAGAUGAGGCGAUCGGCAGUUGGUGUAUUUGGCACUGUAAGAUAUUAAAA
Prunus avium (sweet cherry) is the source of this 322-nucleotide non-coding RNA. The record is from RefSeq and is a predicted model, not a curated record. Lineage: Eukaryota; Viridiplantae; Streptophyta; Magnoliopsida; Rosales; Rosaceae.